Non-coding RNA from Facklamia hominis, 362 nucleotides. It matches the Rfam family "transfer-messenger RNA". From Rfam's summary of the family: Bacterial tmRNA, also known as 10Sa RNA or SsrA, is named for its dual tRNA and mRNA-like properties. Its role is to liberate the mRNA from a stalled ribosome. To accomplish this part of the tmRNA is used as a reading frame that ends in a translation stop signal. The record is from Rfam. NCBI's taxonomy places the organism in Bacteria, Bacillati, Bacillota, Bacilli, Lactobacillales, Aerococcaceae.
GGGGGUGUCAUGGUUUCGACAGGUAUCGUUCGAAUUUUGGAUGCGUCAGGUAGGCAGCGACUACCACAACAACGCUACAGUUAAAUAUAACUGCAAACAACGAAAACAAUUUAGCUUUAGCUGCCUAAAAACAGCGAGCUAAGAUCAGCCUAAUAUCGCCCAUGUAUUAGUUACUGGUCUCAAAUUAGUGGGAUACGCAAUGACUUUCCGUCUGCAAGUCAUUGAAGAGAUAAUCAGACUCGCAAGCACAGAGGCCUGUUAGUCGGCUAUGUGUAAGCUAAAUAAAAUUGACUAAUCUAUUGGCGUAGAUUCCUUGAUGGCGAGGUAUUUGGACAGGGGUUCGACUCCCCUCAUCUCCAUAA